RNAcentral lists this ribosomal RNA (504 nucleotides) under uncultured bacterium. RNAcentral's name for it is "bacterial SSU rRNA". It matches the Rfam family "Bacterial small subunit ribosomal RNA", at positions 29 to 508 of the family's 1533-position model. The record is from RNAcentral.
AACGAACGCUGGCGGCGUGCCUAACACAUGCAAGUCGAACGAGAAAGGGGCUUCGGCCCUGAGUAAAGUGGCGCACGGGUGAGUAACACGUAGGUAACCUGCCUCCAAGAUUGGGAUAACCCGUCGAAAGAUGGGCUAAUACCGGAUAAGACCACAGUUUCCUCGGAAGCAGGGGUCAAAGGUAGCCUCUAUUUAUAAGCUAUCACUUGGAGAUGGGCCUGCGCACCAUUAGCUAGUUGGUAGGGUAACGGCCUACCAAGGCAAAGAUGGUUAGCUGGUCUGAGAGGAUGAUCAGCCACACUGGAACUGAGACACGGUCCAGACUCCUACGGGAGGCAGCAGUGGGGAAUAUUGCGCAAUGGGCGAAAGCCUGACGCAGCAACGCCGCGUGAGUGAUGAAGGCCUUCGGGUCGUAAAGCUCUGUCGGAGGGAACGAACGUUUUCGGGGUUAACGGCCUCGGGAAGUGACGGUACCUUCAAAGGAAGCACCGGCUAACUCUGUGC